GAAAUGCGAUAAGUAAUGUGAAUUGCAGAAUUCAGUGAAUCAUCGAAUCUUUGAACGCACAUUGCGCCCGCCGGUAUUCCGACGGGCAUGCCUGUCCGAGCGUCAUUAGCAACAGUCGAGCCCUUUAGUCAAGCUUGGUAUUAGGUCGCGCCCGCGUGGGCGGGCCUUAACGUCACCGGCGGUGCUAGGUUCGCCUGCACCGAGCGCUGUUAGUACCCACCGCGUUCGAACGGGUUCCGUAAGGGCCCGUGUACCCCCGCCGGAGGGAGGCCUACCCAGGCCGCCCGUCACCAAAAGUUUGACCUCGGAUCAGGUAGGGAUACCCGCUGAACUUAAGC
RNAcentral lists this unclassified non-coding RNA (338 nucleotides) under plant metagenome. RNAcentral describes it as "partial contains 5.8S ribosomal RNA, internal transcribed spacer 2, and large subunit ribosomal RNA". The stretch from base 1 to 105 matches the Rfam family "5.8S ribosomal RNA", at positions 50 to 154 of the family's 154-position model. The record is from RNAcentral.